This 224-nucleotide long non-coding RNA is filed under the name Lathyrus oleraceus (garden pea). RNAcentral's name for it is "Pisum sativum (pea) long non-coding RNA (PSAT_LNC035551)". The record is from RNAcentral. Lineage: Eukaryota; Viridiplantae; Streptophyta; Magnoliopsida; Fabales; Fabaceae.
UCUAAUCUCUCUCUCUGUUGGAAAAUAAAAGACGAAAAAACAAAAUAAAAAAGGUCUCCAAUCAAAAAACACUACCUCUCUUCUCUCUCUAGCUCACUUACCUCACUCCUCCAUAAUUCUCUCUCUGCUGAAAAAAGCGAAAAGAAAAAGAAAAAGAAAAGAGAUGGCGCUACUCACCUCCUUCAACAUCCUAUCAGGCUCUCUCCUUUUCCACUUUUCCUCAC